AAUGAACGUCGGCGGCGUGGAUUAGGCAUGCAAGUCGUGCGAGAAGUGUUUUUUGCUUGCAUUGAACACGGACAGCGGCGAAAGGGAGAGUAACGUGUGGUUACAUGCCCAGGGGUCCAGGAUAGUGUCGGGAAACUGGCAGUAAUACUGGAUGAUAUCUAAGGAUCAAAGGUGUGAUUCCGCCCUUGGAUUGGACCGCAUACUAUUAGCUUGUUGGUGAGGUAAUGGCUCACCAAGGCUGCGAUGGUUACCGGGUGUGAGAGCAUGGCCCGGCUCACUGGGACUGAGACACUGCCCAGACACCUACGGGUGGCUGCAGUCGAGAAUCUUCGGCAAUGGACGAAAGUCUGACCGAGCGACGCCGCGUGCGGGAUGAAGGCCCUCGGGUUGUAAGCCGCUGUCAGUUUGGAGGAAAGGUCUGUGAAGAGCAGACUUUGACCGAUAUUCAGAGGAAGGACGGGCUAAGUUCGUGCCAGCAGCCGCGGUAAGACGAACCGUCCAAACGUUACUCGGUAUCACUGGGCUUAAAGCGUGCGUAGGCGGCUUGGUAAGUGUGAUGUGAAAGCCCACGGCUCAACCGUGGAAUUGCGUCGCAAACCCCCAAGC
Molecule: ribosomal RNA, 606 nt
Filed under: uncultured bacterium
Lineage: Bacteria
Description: bacterial SSU rRNA
Rfam family: Bacterial small subunit ribosomal RNA
Source: RNAcentral